CCAACGCUUAUUAAAUUAUAAGACUGCUUACAAAGUUUCAUGGCAAUAGGAUUUAUAUUAUAGACAAUAUGACUAAUUCUAUAUUCAACUUUGCGUAUUAAAUUUAGACGUUAAAAUUGAAAAUUUUCAACUAUCAACAUUUGGGGCUUAAAAAAUUAAAAUAUUGCAAAAAAAUACUUUUGAAAUGCCUUAAUAUAUAAUAUAUUAUGUAUUAAAAGCAAUAGAGUACUCAUUUGAUUUAUCAGACUAAUCAUAAUUAUUAAAAAUUCAAAUUUAUAUGAGCCUGUGGCUAAAAAUGGAGGUUUUCCAAUGAAGGGGGGCCUUACAUGAAGAUGUAAUAUUUUCCAGCAAUUUUAAAUUUGUAAAGCCUUUUGGUUAUAAAUAAUCCUUACAUAUGUAUUUAAUGUACUUUAAAUGGAAAGAAAACUUACAAAUAACAUAUCACAUUAGUUUAAAAGGGUCUUAGGCCAAGUAAGACUGAAAAUAAUUUAGGGUCAAUUUAGGCCGUAUCACAUAUUUACAUUUAAAAAUGCAUAUUGAAGCUAUAGGAAAUAAAAUUUUGUGUCUUUUCUAUCAUUUCUAUACUCAGGUGACAUGAUACAAUAAAUCUGAGCACAAAAAGACUCUUGCAUUCAACUUUUUUUGCAGACAGUAUGGUCUGAUACAAAGAUUUUUCACUUUUUAGUGAAAAACAUGCAUGCAAUUUUAGUCUCAACAGGCUUAUAUUUGAACCACUUGCUAUCCUACAGAAGAAAAGAAAGAUAUUAUGUGACAUAAAACAGGUACAAAAGACAUUGUUAAGUGCUUUUUAUACAAAUUUAGUUAGGUCUUUAUAAUGGACUUCAACUUUUUUGUUCCAAGCUCCUCACAUUUAACUUGAUCCAAACAGGGCGUUAGACGAGGAUCAUAUAUACAACACAUUUUGCACAUAUUGUCCGAGAUAAUCUUCUUUUCUGUAGAUUCAGAGUUCACAAAUGAGUAAUACAACUGGAUUGAAGCAUAGAAACACAAAUAUUGACACAUAAAAACCUGUCAGAUAGAAAGUCAGA
This is a long non-coding RNA of Mytilus californianus (California mussel), 1049 nucleotides long. RefSeq lists it as uncharacterized. The record is from RefSeq and is a predicted model, not a curated record. NCBI's taxonomy places the organism in Eukaryota, Metazoa, Mollusca, Bivalvia, Mytilida, Mytilidae. The transcript has 3 exons.